This 455-nucleotide long non-coding RNA is filed under the name Musa acuminata (dwarf banana). Its description in RNAcentral is "long non-coding RNA (MACU_LNC011095)". Lineage: Eukaryota; Viridiplantae; Streptophyta; Magnoliopsida; Zingiberales; Musaceae. The record is from RNAcentral.
GGCGUAUGAAAUGUUUCGGAGCAUAUCAAUGACAAAUGAAACAUUUCGAAACAUAUCAAUGGCAUAUGGACCAUUUCGAAGCAUAUCAAAGAACGAAUACGAAAUAGAAGCUCAGACGUCGUACCCUAGCAUAGUGCAUGUGAGGUUUAAAUCAGUGGUGGCUCCACGCCGUGAUGAGUUCUCGACUCCAUCCACGGGUAGCCCUUUCCUACUCGAGCCCUCUCACCCUACCCAAGUGCUAGGUCGGCUCUAAAUUUCAUAUCAAACAGAUAGAAGGUGAAGUGGGAUUCCAAACAUAAUAUGGUCUAUUCAUUUCUAAAUGACCACCAAACAUAAUCUAGAGCAUCACGGGCUCUAAGCACAUACCCUUUACCAUUUCUGGCAAAGGUCCAAAUAAUCCCACAAACACUAGAGUACAAAAGGGUAUUGUGAACAAUAAAUUGGGACAUAUCGGA